AGUGAACGCUGGCGGUAGGCCUAACACAUGCAAGUCGAGCGGCAGCACAGUAAGAGCUUGCUCUUACGGGUGGCGAGUGGCGGACGGGUGAGGAAUACAUCGGAAUCUACUUUUUCGUGGGGGAUAACGUAGGGAAACUUACGCUAAUACCGCAUACGACCUACGGGUGAAAGCAGGGGAUCUUCGGACCUUGCGCGAUUGAAUGAGCCGGUGUCGGAUUAGCUAGUUGGCGGGGUAAAGGCCCACCAAGGCGACGAUCCGUAGCUGGUCUGAGAGAAUGAUCAGCAACACGGGACUGGAGGCCGUGGCCAGGCGGUGAGGGAGGGCGGAAGGGGGAAUAUUGGACAAUGGGCGCAAGCCUGAUCCAGCCAUACCGCGUGGGUGAAGAAGGCCUUCGGGUUGUAAAGCCCUUUUGUUGGGAAAGAAAAGCAGCAGGUUAAUACCCCGCUGUUCUGACGGUACCCAAAGAAUAAGCACCGGCUAACUUCGU
RNAcentral lists this ribosomal RNA (490 nucleotides) under uncultured bacterium. RNAcentral describes it as "partial 16S ribosomal RNA". It matches the Rfam family "Bacterial small subunit ribosomal RNA", at positions 29 to 506 of the family's 1533-position model. The record is from RNAcentral.